This 918-nucleotide small RNA is filed under the name Pan troglodytes (chimpanzee). RNAcentral's name for it is "retained intron". Lineage: Eukaryota; Metazoa; Chordata; Mammalia; Primates; Hominidae. The record is from RNAcentral.
GGCAAACUUCGAUGAGAAUGACCCCAAGACCUUUGAGGGCGUUGACCCCCAGACUACCAGCAUGCGUGACGUCUACCGGAAGUUUGAUCUGGGCCAGGAUGUCAUCGAUUUCACUGGCCAUGCCCUGGCGCUCUACCGCACUGAUGAGUGAGGGGAAGCUGGGUGGUGGUAGCCCCCUCGCCCGGCCCGCCCCCGCCCUUCCCACACCUGCCUGCUGUCCCCCUGCCCCGCAUGUCUCUUGUACUCAGCCACCGGCUCACCUAUCACCCUUUCCAUUUCCCCCUUGCAUUUGAUCCUCAUCUUCCCCAGGCCAUUCAGGGUGGUGGGAAGACUGGCCUGGUACCUGGGUGGGGGUAAGUCAGGGGUGCUGCUAUUCCCCCAGCUACCUGGACCAGCCCUGCCUUGAGACCGUCAACCGCAUCAAGUUGUACAGUGAGUCCCUGGCCCGGUAUGGCAAGAGCCCGUAUUUAUACCCGCUCUACGGCUUGGGCGAGCUGCCCCAGGGUUUUGCAAGAUUGAGUGCCAUCUAUGGGGGGACAUAUAUGCUGAACAAACCUGUGGAUGACAUCAUCAUGGAGAACGGCAAGGUGGUGGGCGUGAAGUCUGAGGGAGAGGUGGCCCGCUGCAAGCAGCUGAUCUGUGACCCCAGCUACAUCCCGGACCGUGUGCGGAAGGCUGGCCAGGUUAUCCGCAUCAUCUGUAUCCUUAGCCACCCCAUCAAGAACACCAACGACGCCAACUCCUGCCAAAUAAUCAUCCCCCAGAACCAGGUCAACAGGAAGUCAGACAUCUACGUGUGCAUGAUCUCCUAUGCACACAACGUGGCGGCCCAGGGCAAGUACAUAGCUAUUGCCAGCACUACUGUGGAGACCACGGACCCUGAAAAGGAGGUGGAGCCGGCUCUGGAGCUGUUGGAGC